Molecule: ribosomal RNA, 497 nt
Filed under: uncultured bacterium
Lineage: Bacteria
Description: partial 16S ribosomal RNA
Rfam family: Bacterial small subunit ribosomal RNA
Source: RNAcentral
GAUGAACGCUGGCGGCGUGCCUAAUACAUGCAAGUCGAGCGAACAGACGAGGAGCUUGCUCCUUUGACGUUAGCGGCGGACGGGUGAGUAACACGUAGGUAACCCACCUAUAAGACUGGGAUAACUUCGGGAAACCGGAGCUAAUACCGGAUAAUAUUUCGAACCGCAUGGUUCGAUAGUGAAAGAUGGCUUUGCUAUCACUUAUAGAUGGACCUGCGCCGUAUUAGCUAGUUGGUAAGGUAACGGCUUACCAAGGCAACGAUACGUAGCCGACCUGAGAGGGUGAUCGGCCACACUGGAACUGAGACACGGUCCAGACUCCUACGGGAGGCAGCAGUAGGGAAUCUUCCGCAAUGGGCGAAAGCCUGACGGAGCAACACCGCGUGAGUGAUGAAGGUCUUCGGAUCGUAAAACUCUGUUAUUAGGGAAGAACAAACGUGUAAGUAACUGUGCACGUCUUGACGGUACCUAAUCAGAAAGCCACGGCUAACUACGUG